CAGCACACACGUUCUGUACUGGUAAAAGUUUUCUUGUUGGAUAAGUUCACGGCCUACAGUUCUCUGGAGAUAAUGUUUCACCAAGCAGGUACGUAAUCGCCCUUGAGGGGCGACCGGACACACUUGGACUUGGACCCGGCCCAGAACUCCUAUCGGAGCAGCCAGUGGGCAAUUUGCGACCAUUGGCGAAACUCCUGUAUCAGCGAUCGCAGCGUGUGCGGACUACCGCUCUUUCGGGUUGUUAAACCGAUUUUCAGCCAGGGAAGAAGGCGCAUAUGACCGGUUACUUUCCAGAAGGAGUACCGGCCUAACUACGUGGCCAGCAGCCCGCCGUAAAUACGUUAGGGUACGAGCGUUGUUCCGCGAUUAUUUGGGCGUAAAGAAGCUCGUAGGUGGUUUGUUCACUUCUGCUGUGGAAACGCAACGCUUAAACGUUGCGCGUGCAGUGGGUACGGGCUGAUUAGAGUGCAGUAGGGGAGUCUGGAAUUCCUGGUGUAGCGGUGAAAUGCGCAGAUAUCAGGAGGAACACCGGUGGCGAAGGCGGGACUUUUGGGCUGUAACUGACACUGAGGAGCGAAAGCAUGGGGAGCGAACAGGAUUAGAUACCCUGGUAGUUCCAUGCCGUAAACGUUGGGCACUAGGUGUGGGGGGCAUUCCACGUUCUCCGCGCCGUAGCUAACGCAUUAAGUGCCCCGCCUGGGGAGUACGGUCGCAAGGCUAAAACUCAAAGGAAUUGACGGGGGCCCGCACAAGCGGCGGAGCAUGCGGAUUAAUUCGAUGCAACGCGAAGAACCUUACCAAGGCUUGACAUACACCGGACCGUCCUGGAAACAGGUCCUCUUCUUUGAAGCUGGUGUACAGGUGGUGCAUGGUAGUCGUCAGCUCGUGUCGUGAGAUGUUGGGUUAAGUCCCGCAACGAGCGCAACCCUCGUUCUAUGUUGCCAGCAUGUGAUGGUGGGAACUCAUAGGAGACUGCCGGGGUCAACUCGGAGGAAGGUGGGGAUGACGUCAAAUCAUCAUGCCCUUUAUGUCUUAGAGUUCACGCAUGGUACAA
RNAcentral lists this ribosomal RNA (1054 nucleotides) under Brevibacterium sp. Its description in RNAcentral is "bacterial SSU rRNA". It matches the Rfam family "Bacterial small subunit ribosomal RNA", at positions 182 to 1230 of the family's 1533-position model. Lineage: Bacteria; Bacillati; Actinomycetota; Actinomycetes; Micrococcales; Brevibacteriaceae. The record is from RNAcentral.